RNAcentral lists this ribosomal RNA (468 nucleotides) under uncultured bacterium. RNAcentral describes it as "partial 16S ribosomal RNA". It matches the Rfam family "Bacterial small subunit ribosomal RNA", at positions 28 to 507 of the family's 1533-position model. The record is from RNAcentral.
GACGAACGCUGGCGGCGUGCUUAACACAUGCAAGUCGAACGGAAAGGCCCUGCUUUUGUGGUGUUCUCGAGUGGCGAACGGGUGAGUAACACGUGAGUAACCUUCCCUUUACUUUGGGAUAACUUCAGGAAACUGGGUCUAUUACCGUAUAGGAGCUCCUGCUGCAUGGUGGGGGUUGGUAAGUUUCGUCGGUUGGGGAUGGACUCGCGGCUUAUCAGCUUUUUUGUGGUGUAGUGGCUUACCAAGGCUUUGACGGGUAGCCGGCCUGAGAGGGUGAACAGGCACAAUGGGACUGAGAGAGGGAGCAGACUGCAACGGGAGGCAGCAGUGGGGAAUAUUGCACAAUGGGGGGAAGCGUGAUGAAGAAACGCGGCGUGCGGGAUGAAGGCCUUCGGGUUGUAAACCGAUUUAGGCUGUGACGAAGCGUGAGUGACGGUAAUGGGUAAAGAAGCACCGGCUAACUACGUG